RNAcentral lists this ribosomal RNA (484 nucleotides) under uncultured bacterium. Its description in RNAcentral is "partial 16S ribosomal RNA". It matches the Rfam family "Bacterial small subunit ribosomal RNA", at positions 29 to 507 of the family's 1533-position model. The record is from RNAcentral.
AUUGAACGCUGGCGGCAUGCUUUACACAUGCAAGUCGAACGGCAGCGCGGGCUUCGUCCUGGCGGCGAGUGGCGAACGGGUGAGUAAUGCAUCGGAACGUGCCCAGUAUUGGGUGAUAGCCCGGCGAAAGCCGGAUUACUACCGCAUACGACCUGAGGGUGAAAGCUGGGGACCGAAAGACCUCGCGCUAUUGUAGCGGCCGAUGUCGGGUUAGCUAGUUGGUGGGGUAAAGGCUUACCAAGUCGCCGAUCCGUAGCUGGUCUGAGAGGACGACCAGCCACACUGGGACUGAGACGCGGACCAGAAUACUAAGGGAGGCAGCAGUGGGGAACUUUGGACAAUGGGGGGAAACCUGAUCCAGCCAUGGCGCGUGCGGGAAAAAGGCCCUCGGGGUGUGAACCGCGUUUGCUCGGGAAGAAAUCCUGUGGGCUAAUACCCCGGGGGGAUGACGGUACCGGAAGAAUAAGCACCGGCUAACUACGUG